GUAACGCGUGGAUAACCUGCCUCACACUGGGGGAUAACAGUUAGAAAUGACUGCUAAUACCGCAUAAGCGCACAGUGCCGCAUGGCAGUGUGUGAAAAACUCCGGUGGUGUGAGAUGGAUCCGCGUCUGAUUAGCCAGUUGGCGGGUAACGGCCCACCAAAGCGACGAUCAGUAGCCGACCUGAGAGGGUGACCGGCCACAUUGGGACUGAGACACGGCCCAAACUCCUACGGGAGGCAGCAUG
This 244-nucleotide ribosomal RNA is filed under the name uncultured bacterium. RNAcentral describes it as "partial 16S ribosomal RNA". It matches the Rfam family "Bacterial small subunit ribosomal RNA", at positions 110 to 353 of the family's 1533-position model. The record is from RNAcentral.